RNAcentral lists this microRNA (21 nucleotides) under Macaca mulatta (Rhesus monkey). RNAcentral's name for it is "mml-miR-607". Its record names the gene mml-miR-607. Lineage: Eukaryota; Metazoa; Chordata; Mammalia; Primates; Cercopithecidae. The record is from miRBase by way of RNAcentral.
GUUAUAGAUCUGGAUUGGAAC